GAGAGAAAGUAUGUGAAGAGCUUAAUCCGCAGCGGGUCUAUCUGUGCGCGUGUGUGCGCAGAGCCUGGCCUCCCAGGGCCGGUCACCCCUGCGGCUCAGGGCUCUGUGUGUGUGUGUGUGCACUUGUGUGUGCACGUGCGUGUGCACGCCUGAGACCGUGGUGGGCGUGGAGUCCAGACAUGGCGGGGCUGCCUUCAGGGCGAGUCCUGGUCUCAGCGGGCGCUGCGGUGGGCUGUCCAGACACCUGAGAAAAGCUCGGCUCGCUAGAUCGCUAGAACGCCCGCCCCCCAGGCCACCUGCCCCGGCUCCAGGAGGGGCCGCCCCUUCCUUCCUCCUGGGGAUGCGGAGAACAACACAGCCACCCAGGAAACACGUGUGCGCUGGGCCAUGGGGGCGGCGGAGGUGCUUGGAGCGGGUGGUCGACGCACUUUUUCUAGAUCCAGCCCCAGAAGGAACGGGGGCCGCCCUUCCGGGCUCUGCAUGUGACAAUUGCCAAGGCCCCGAGGUGGCCAGGAGUCUGUGCGGGAGGUAAGGGAAGGAGAGGUUGCUCGGUGGGAGUCCAGAAUGGGUGCAGCCCCUUUGGAGAAGCCUGAAGUUAUCUCUUAAAGUUGGACAUUCCCGCCAGGCACAGGCCGAGGACACACUCCUGCCCACGUCUGUCAGGAAGCGUGCAGAAGAAUCUUUAGAGUCAGCACUGUCAGGAAUAGCAAGAACCAGCAAAUAGCGCACUGCCCGCCCCCUGGACAGCGGACCAACACCUCGUGGGGUAUUCAUAGAAUGGGAUAUCACAGAGGUGUGAGAAAGGACUCGAAGCUAUCGACCCCACGUGAAUAAGUCUCGUCACCCUAACAUGGAGUGAAAAAAAUGAGUCCCAGAAAAUUGCAUUCGGCAUGAUAAUCUUUGGCAGGAGUAAAAGACAGUUAAAACUAAAAAGUACACUGCUAG
Molecule: long non-coding RNA, 945 nt
Filed under: Equus caballus (horse)
Lineage: Eukaryota; Metazoa; Chordata; Mammalia; Perissodactyla; Equidae
Description: lncRNA (ENSECAG00000032651.3)
Source: RNAcentral